Non-coding RNA from Nothobranchius furzeri (turquoise killifish), 406 nucleotides. The record is from RefSeq and is a predicted model, not a curated record. Lineage: Eukaryota; Metazoa; Chordata; Actinopteri; Cyprinodontiformes; Nothobranchiidae.
AGGAGUCAUUUCCAUCUGAAUGUGGCAGCAACGGGACACAGCAGCAGAGCGAGUCCACAUCCAGAAGGCUGGAGCCGUGUUUCACUGACAGGCUGUCAGACUAAAGCCCUGAUGAGCUCAGCUGGGACAAACUGGUCUGAUGUUUAGGAACACAGAACUUUCAGAUGUUGGAGCUUCACAUCACCUACUGAGGAAGGAGACCCACCAGUAAAGAGACGGUCUGGACCAGACCAAAAAUAUGGCGAUGACAUCAUGGAACUGGUCUUUGGAAAAGUUUUCCCUGAACCAACUCCGUUUCUAGAUGAGGUAGAGAAGAUCUGCAUCUCACCAACCCUCUGGUCUCAGUAUUCAGACAACGGAGGUCUCCCACUGUUAUCCAGGACCAGUUUGAAGCCCACAUACUGCC